Molecule: long non-coding RNA, 1208 nt
Filed under: Ananas comosus (pineapple)
Lineage: Eukaryota; Viridiplantae; Streptophyta; Magnoliopsida; Poales; Bromeliaceae
Description: long non-coding RNA (ACOM_LNC036739)
Source: RNAcentral
AACAAAGCCAAUCACUAACCUCUAUUUGUACAAAACAUUUUGGGUUAAUUAAUUAGGUCCCUGCAAAUACAGUGAAUUAUAAAUAUAUUGCUAUAAAGUUCAACUUUUAUAUGUUGUUUCUAUAAAAAUCCUAAUAUCUUCAAAUACGUCCCUUUGGUUUGUUACCGUUAAAACACUAUUUAUUUUAUAAGUGAAAUAAUUUUUUUGCCAUCACAAAUAUAUGCUUUCAAAAAUUUCAACAGUUAAUUAAAAAGAGGUAAAAAGGUCAAUUCAUCUCAGUAACUAAAUAGAAUUAAGUAUUUUAUCUAUAGGGAUCUAAGGAUGCACAUCUUACACCCAAUUGUCGCCAUCAUUUAAAAUUUUUUUAUUUUUUAUUUUUUAAUAAAAUAAAUAAAUAAAUUUGAACUGUAGAUAUUAAAUAUAAAAAUAUUUAAACAUCGUUCUCUAACUGUUAAAUAUAAAAAUAUUUAAAUAUUGUUCUCUAAAAGCUUAAAUUGUUAGAGAACGGUGUUUGAAUAUUUUUAUAUUUAACAGUAGAGAGUGUAAGAUAUAAGAAUUAUACCGACAUUAUAGGUGCACAUGAAUGUGGUAGUGCUCUUCCACAAAUAUCGAAAUAAUAUCAGUCAACAAAACAAUGUUACUUUUCGCGUCCCGAAUAACAUCAUUUUAACUUGAGGUUACUAUCUUAUUUCUUAGGAUUAGAUUCAUAUGUCGCCGAAAAUAUAGUAAAUUACAAAUAUAUUUCUAUAAAGUUUAAUUUUUAUAAUAUUAUUUUUAUAAAAGUUCUGAUAUUUUCAAAUAUAUUCCUACUAUUAAGAUCAGUUAGAAAAAAUUAAUUAAUCAUAAGUAAAAUACUUAACCGUAGUUAGUUAAUAAGAUGAAUUUACUUAUUUACCCAUCUUCAAUUAACUGUUGGAAUUUUUGGAAGGACGUAUUUGUGAUGGUAAAAAGAUCAUUUCACUUAUAAAAUAAACAGUGCUUUAACGGUAACAAACCAAAAAUAUAUAUUUAAAAAUAUUAAAAUUUUUGUAAGAACAAUAUAUGAAAGUUAAACUUUGUAAAAAUAUAUUUGCAAUUCACUAUGUUUGCAGUGACAUAUAUGAAAUUAAACCUUUUUUUUUUUUAUCGUACCUUCAUUAUUAUCUCAUAUAUCUCAAUAAAAUAUUAGAAAUAAAUUGGACAUAUAUAUUAUCUCUAUAUAUAUGUAU